Molecule: long non-coding RNA, 3696 nt
Organism: Scophthalmus maximus (turbot)
Lineage: Eukaryota; Metazoa; Chordata; Actinopteri; Pleuronectiformes; Scophthalmidae
Exons: 3
Source: RefSeq, a predicted model, not a curated record
AUUUUCCACAUUUUAUUUUCAAAGUCUUCAUGUGACAAUUCUGAUGAGAGAUUACGAUUACUUGUCUGAAAACAUUGUUAAAUCAAUGCAGUUACUGGUCUCGUCCCACCUCCAGCUGCAGGACAGGCCCGGACAACGCCAGCGGCUCGGUUUCACGCUCCAUUUGACGCUCGCCCUCUCGGACCAUUUGAGGUCUCCCUUUGUGACACGCGUCACAAAGCGGUCUCCACGGUGAUGAGGUGAAGGCUUUCGCUCGAUGCCUAACUGAAAGUCUGUCAUCUCCUGCUUCCAGACGGACGGGACGACGACGACUCGCCGCGGCGGACGACCCGCUGACGAGAUGACGGACGGCCGCCUCGGCGCGAUCUCCGGCCGCUUUCGUUCACGGCGGAUCAGCGGCGUUUCACGGGAGCAAUAAAGUCUCAUCUGCUGUCUCCUCUACAGUCAAUCUUAUCGGCCAUUCCUGCAAAGAAUCUGCGGUAGAGGAACGGCACAGCAAGGAAAGCAAAUGGGACGGAGACGAAACAAAGUGACCGCACGACAGUAAGGAGUGUCGUGUCAAAUCAUAAAGUUCUUUGAACGCAUAACAACUAGCCAUCCCUUUCCCCGCAUUGCGGCGGCGGCCGGUAGCAGCCGACAACAGGGCCGGCCUGAUUAGCGAGACACAGAGGAGCGCUGGCUCUGCAUUCCCAGCUGCCUCGGCCCUGAACACGCUGUCAGCAGCACAUCAGCGGACGCCACCCCCCCUAAGAUCACCCUCCAGAGAGGCGGCACACAUCCCCCGUCCUGCCGACCUGGGUAGUCGCUGCAGCGGCGCGUCAGCGGGAGCAGCCUGUUUUCCCCCUCUGCUGAAGUGCUCUUGAGCAGGAGGCUGUGGCAGUCGGGGGAGGGAGGCGGGGAGGGAACCUUUACAACAGCACAGCUCCCUCUCACCCCGGAUGAUCAUGUAGCUCGACUCUUCCUGCGCUCUUCACUGAGACCUGUGACGAUCCGAGUCCUUCGUGGGUCCGUCCCGGAGACGCGGGAUCCUGGACGAUGCUGAUUUCAGGGGAUUCAAACCCUCAGUGUCCGAGAGCCGCCGCCGCCACCUCGUGUGGUCCAAAACAAUUAGCCGGCGGCGGCGGCGGAACGUAGCUGAAGGUUUUGACGCAUUUUUGGCACCAGCUCAAAAGGUUUGCUUUGCCAAAACCAGGAUGUAAAGCUGUCGCCAUGUGCGAUGCUGGGAUCUCAGGUAUUCCCAGACAACAAUCAUAAUGUCAGUAAUGUAAUCUGAUGACAGUCGUUGCCUCUGUGGCCUGGACGAAGCAGCCGCCAGUCACACCCACGUUCAUUUUGACGUUAGUCUGAACUCAAACGCGAUGCCGAAGUCCGUGUCGUUCUUUUAAAACCCUUUAUCCUUUAGGCAGAUCCGUGCCUCUCACGUGUGUGUGUGUGUGUGUGUGUGUGUGUGUGUGUGUGUGUGCGGUGAAGGUCCUUUCAUGUCCAAUCCAUCGGCCGUCCGUCUCCUCCAACCGCCACUCAUCCAUCCCGCAAAUCUGACAACUUUAUCGUCCAUUACACCGACAACACAUGGGACUCGGCUCCCUCCCUACAACAAAAAUAGAUUUAAAAGCAGGGGACUGACAGAUUUACAGUACAUGACAUAAAUAACAUUAGGUCCUUACAACCCACCAGACACCAUAUGAGCGAACAGGUGUCGCCUCCAUUGUUCAGAUUGUGCGUUCAACUCCACAGUCCACUGCUCCGCUUGCGUAUCCAUGUUCAGGGGUUCAGUGGGCUUAACUGAUGGAAAUUAAUUUAGAUUAAAAUACAUUUCUCUAAGUGCCAAUUAAGACAAACGUAAUGGUUAAAAAUAAGUCUUCAGUAUUGAACCAAUACCCUUUGGGUUUCUUGUCCGUCAAUAAAAACUAAUAAAAAACUCACUUAUUUUCAUGUUCCUGUUAACAACCGGAUAUGGAAGGUUUAAGAAGUCCGUCGUAUCAGAACUGAUAUCGUCUUUGUGUUUUCGCCUCGGAUCAUCUCCAUUUCCCGCCCUUCUGAACUGCCAAGGGUUUAGUUUCGAUUCUGUUUGCAGGGUUAUUGUCGGAGUUUGAUACAAAUACUCUCAGAGACGUUGAGACGUUGAUGCCGAGACCGUGGGUUUUACCACAGCUGCUAUUUUAUGAGGUGUUGAUGGAAGAAAUUCAACAUUUGGGCAACAGGGUGGAGGCUGGGGAGUAGUAUUGAUCAUGAUAAUGACAAUACAAAUAAUAAUAGCACCUUCAAAAUCAAAAUUUGUUUAAAGUAAGAAACCGAGUCUAAGCUUAAAUAGGUGACAUACGUUAAAUAAAUGACAUUUAAAAGUUAAAAGAUAAAAUAAGACAAUAAGAUAAAAGCCUGAUGAGUUGUAGUCUUUGGAUGUUUUGUUGGACCAGAACAAUGUGAGUUGCAGUAGUUUAAGUCUGAAGGAUUUAAAAGCGUGGACGACUUGACUAGAUCUGAAAAUGAAUGGAAUGAUCUGAUCUGGGUUAAAUGUCCCAGAUGGAGGAAUCUGGGCUGGUCGGUCAAAUCAUCAAAAGACAUCUCCGAGUCAAAUAUUUGGCUGCUUUUUCUUUUCAUGAGGACAAAUUGAGAUAUUAAUUAGUUCUAGUGUUGAGAGCAGAUGGGGUAAUUAUAAGUAUUUCUUAUUUGGAGUAUUUUAGUGGUAGUUUGUACAUCACAAAUAAAAAGGGGACCUGGAGUAGAUCCCUGGGAACCCCCGGGAAAGUUGUGCACUUAAACUUUCUACACGCAACCGGUGAAGCUAUAGAUUUUAUAUCAGUCAACAGGUGGGCAAUGACUACGCAGGUAAUAACGCCCAUGAAUCUGUGCAUUUGAAGGUCACUUGCUUUAAUUGGCCCCAGAUUAUGUUGUCAGUGCGAAUGGACCACGCUGCAGUUCGCUUUCAAAGAGGAAUUAGACUCUGACGAUCUUCACAUGUUGUGAUUUGGUUUGUUUCGGUGCCUCUCGGUGCGAAUUCCAUUUAUUCUCACCUGUCCAUCUGCAUUAAAGGAGCUAACACCCAAAAAUUCCUAAGGCACAUUAACAAAUACGUUUGGUAUGAACACGCCAUCACGCCCACUCACACCUGGCAGCUGUUGGCAGCCUCCAAAGCUUCAGCACUUGGCUUUGAAUACUCCUUGCUGGUUUGCUUUAUUAGAGCUGUUUCUCUUUUCAACAUUUAGAUUAAAGGAAAAAUAUCCCAAACCAAUAAGCAUCAAAUGUUCACUGCCUGUAAGAGUGAAAGACGGCACCAAAAAGUUUGUGCCCGGCCUCGUUGUGGAAGACUGCAACUGCUGUUAGCUCGGGUCAAAGUCUGUAUAUACAGUAGAGAUGGACGACAUGACAGCAACCAAAAGUGAAGCCAAAACAUCUGGAUCGCCCCCUGGUGUUUGCCUGCAGUAUAAGUCAUAAACCCCCGAGUCCUCCAUGUUGGCAGAUGGGACAUGGAUCCAAAUAAAAAGUUAAAGUGCAAGCAAGUACAUCACAGUGAAGAUGCUUUUGUAAGUUUUGUUAAAACAAUAAUAAAUAUAUAUAUUUAAUACAAACGGGUUGAAAUGUCAUGAUUGGCAGCUGACACUGACUCGCUCGAGCGUGUUUAUUGGAGGAACCUCGAUACCGUGACUCCACUCCACGAUCCCUACUCGUCACCAGCAGAAGACGGCAGCGUCCGAGACA